UUGGCAUCGAUCAAGCAAUAGCAUCUUGAGAGCAACGUUUAUCAGACUUAUAACACUGAUUAAUCUCCCUUCUAAUUAGGUCUGGAGCAAAAAGAAGAAUAGACUUUACCAAGGAUGAUGCCACCAAAUCUAUCAGAUCAAAGAAACAUGAACAUAGUCCUUCCAAAGAAUACAAGAAAGACAAAACAGACAACAAAUAUCAAACAACCAAUGAUGGACAGCAGGAGUAAGCCAAACAUGCAUACCAAAUAGAUGUUAACAUAUGGACGAGACAAUCAAACAGGAAGGGUCUUACUAUUCAUGGAAGAUGUUAACAUGUGGAGGAGACAAUCAUACAUGAAGGAUCUUCAUUAUUGGAUAAUGCUUGAAUGCACUGAGUUUCUCUUUGUCUUUUCUCCUUUCGCCCUUUGGAAUCACCAGAGUACCCAUUCCUCAACGUGUAUGAGUGUACGAGGGUACUUUUAGUCAUAAAUCUAUAAAUACCAAACUGGGUUCGUAUUACAUUUUGAAUGUUAACAUGAGGAUAUCUAUUAUAAUGUCAUCUCUGUUUUUUCUUGCUAGAGUAUGUAUCUCCUCAAAACUCUCAUAAACUGCAGAAAAUGCCGCCCAUGCUAGCCUUCACCGCUUAGAAAGUUUUAUAUUUUAUAUACCAACCCCCAAUUAUUUUCUUUGCUAGGAAUCCAACCAACAAUUACCAUGCCCAAAUCUUACAUGCGUGUGUGAUAUUAAUACGUACAUUAACCUGCUAAUUAAAACCCCAA
This is a long non-coding RNA of Triticum aestivum (bread wheat), 761 nucleotides long. RefSeq lists it as uncharacterized. NCBI's taxonomy places the organism in Eukaryota, Viridiplantae, Streptophyta, Magnoliopsida, Poales, Poaceae. The transcript has 4 exons. The record is from RefSeq and is a predicted model, not a curated record.